RNAcentral lists this ribosomal RNA (700 nucleotides) under uncultured Pseudotomentella. RNAcentral's name for it is "eukaryotic LSU rRNA". The stretch from base 225 to 378 matches the Rfam family "5.8S ribosomal RNA". Lineage: Eukaryota; Fungi; Basidiomycota; Agaricomycetes; Thelephorales; Thelephoraceae. The record is from RNAcentral.
AUCUUAAUGAAAUGAAUGUCGAGAAGGGUUGUAGCUGGCCUUUUGGGGCAUGUGCACACCUUGAUCGCACAUCCACCUCUCACACCUGUGCACUAUGUGUAGCUUGGGAUGAUUACAAUGUCAUAAAUGAUAUUGAAAGCCCUAGCUAUGAAUUUUUAUUAUAAACCCAUAUACAAAGUUAUAGAAUGGAUAAUGUUAUAGCGUGUAAUAGCGCAAAUAUAUACAACUUUCAGCAACGGAUCUCUUGGCUCUCGCAUCGAUGAAGAACGCAGCGAAAUGCGAUAAGUAAUGUGAAUUGCAGAAUUCAGUGAAUCAUCGAAUCUUUGAACGCACCUUGCACUCCUUGGUAUUCCGAGGAGUAUGCCUGUUUGAGUGUCAUGAAAUUCUCAACUGCCUUUUUAGCAUUUAUGUUAAGGGUGAAGUUGGAGUUGGAGGAUAAUUGCUGGCGCACAACUUAGGUUGUUUGUUAGCUCCUCCUAAAUGGAUGAGCUUUUCUGAUAGAUNAUGGCUCAGUAACACUAAUGUGAUAAUUAUCUACAUUAAAUGUGAAAGCUAUGAGUAGAGUAACUUCAAUUGUGGAGAAGCUCCUAUAGAAAAGAGUAUGUCUUGGGGAUAAAUAAACCCUUGACUUGAAAUAUAAUGACAAAUCUGACCUCAAAUCAGGUAGGACUACCCGCUGAACUUAAGCAUAUCAAUAAGC